GCCCCGAGAUGAGUUCUCCCUGAGACUUUAAGUCUCCUGAAGGAACGUUAAAGACGAUGACGUUGAUAGGCCGGGUGUGUAAGCGCAGCGAUGCGUUGAGCUAACCGGUACUAAUGAACCGUGAGGCUUAACCUUACAACGCCGAAG
Molecule: ribosomal RNA, 147 nt
Filed under: Klebsiella pneumoniae
Lineage: Bacteria; Pseudomonadati; Pseudomonadota; Gammaproteobacteria; Enterobacterales; Enterobacteriaceae
Description: partial 23S ribosomal RNA
Rfam family: Bacterial large subunit ribosomal RNA
Source: RNAcentral